ACUGAACCACAAUUCUUCCACCAAGCUAUGUCAAAUCACAUCAAAACUCAUUCCUGGAUUUAACUGAGAUGUGAGCAAUACCUCUGGAUGACAUUUUUCUUCUUCUUGAUGGCCUGCCGGAGAGGGUCACGCAAGGACACCUGAGCAAAAUCCUGCAAAGCUGAGUAGAUUGUGUGUCGGAUGGCGUGAUUGAAUACACUCUCCAUGCGUCCCAUCAACACUUGCAAACCCUUUAUCAUGGCGAUCACCUGCCAGAGGACCAACAAUCAAAAACAAUGAAAACAUUG
Long non-coding RNA from Thalassophryne amazonica, 287 nucleotides. RefSeq lists it as uncharacterized. The record is from RefSeq and is a predicted model, not a curated record. The transcript is spliced from 2 exons. NCBI's taxonomy places the organism in Eukaryota, Metazoa, Chordata, Actinopteri, Batrachoidiformes, Batrachoididae.